Molecule: unclassified non-coding RNA, 229 nt
Filed under: fungal sp.
Lineage: Eukaryota; Fungi
Description: partial contains small subunit ribosomal RNA, internal transcribed spacer 1, and 5.8S ribosomal RNA
Rfam family: Eukaryotic small subunit ribosomal RNA (bases 1-46)
Source: RNAcentral
AAGUCGUAACAAGGUUUCCGUAGGUGAACCUGCGGAAGGAUCAUUAAAGAGAAAGGGGCUUCGGUCCCGACCUCCAACCCUUUGUUUACCUUACCACUGUUGCCUCGGCGGGUCGCUGACUUCGUCAGCUCCCGCCAUCAGGCCCCCAAUUAAACUCUUUUGUAAACCUAGUCUUCUGAGAGUAAAUUUAAAUACUUCAAAACUUUCAACAACGGAUCUCUUGGUUCUG